UGGGGAAUAUUGGACAAUGGGCGCAAGCCUGAUCCAGCCAUGCCGCGUGAGUGAUGAAGGCCCUAGGGUUGUAAAGCUCUUUCACCGGUGAAGAUAAUGACGGUAACCGGAGAAGAAGCCCCGGCUAACUUCGUGCCAGCAGCCGCGGUAAUACGAAGGGGGCUAGCGUUGUUCGGAUUUACUGGGCGUAAAGGGUACGUAGGCGGAUAAGCAAGUUAGAAGUGAAAUCCUAUAGCUCAACUAUAGUAAGCUUUUAAAACUGCUCAUCUUGAGGUAUGGAAGGGAAAGUGGAAUUCCUAGUGUAGCGGUGAAAUGCGCAGAUAUUAGGAGGAAUACCGGUGGCGAAGGCGACUUUCUGGCCAUAUACUGACGCUGAGGUACGAAAGCGUGGGUAGCAAACAGG
Molecule: ribosomal RNA, 403 nt
Filed under: Verrucomicrobiota bacterium
Lineage: Bacteria; Pseudomonadati; Verrucomicrobiota
Description: Verrucomicrobia bacterium partial 16S ribosomal RNA
Rfam family: Bacterial small subunit ribosomal RNA
Source: RNAcentral